GAUGAACGCUGGCGGCGUGCCUAAUACAUGCAAGUCGAGCGAACAGAUGAGGAGCUUGCUCCUCUGACGUUAGCGGCGGACGGGUGAGUAACACGUGGAUAACCUACCUAUAAGACUGGGAUAACUUCGGGAAACCGGAGCAAUACCGGAUAAUAUAUUGAACCGCAUGGUUCAAUAGUGAAAGACGGUUUUGCUGUCACUUAUAGAUGGAUCCGCGCCGCAUUAGCUAGUUGGUAAGGUAACGGCUUACCAAGGCAACGAUGCGUAGCCGACCUGAGAGGGUGAUCGGCCACACUGGAACUGAGACACGGUCCAGACUCCUACGGGAGGCAGCAGUAGGGAAUCUUCCGCAAUGGGCGAAAGCCUGACGGAGCAACGCCGCGUGAGUGAUGAAGGUCUUCGGAUCGUAAAACUCUGUUAUUAGGGAAGAACAAAUGCGUAAGUAACUAUGCACGUCUUGACGGUACCUAAUCAGAAAGCCACGGCUAACUACGUG
Molecule: ribosomal RNA, 496 nt
Filed under: uncultured bacterium
Lineage: Bacteria
Description: partial 16S ribosomal RNA
Rfam family: Bacterial small subunit ribosomal RNA
Source: RNAcentral